GAUGAACGCUAGCGGGAGGCUUAACACAUGCAAGUCGAGGGGCAGCACUGAUAGCAAUAUUAGGUGGCGACCGGCGGACGGGUGAGUAACGCGUAUGCAACCUACCCUUUACAGGGGGAUAGCCCGGAGAAAUUCGGAUUAAUACCCCAUAGAUCAGUGAUUCUGCAUGGGAUUACUGGUAAAGCUUCGGUGGUAAAGGAUGGGCAUGCGUCCCAUUAGCUAGUUGGUAGGGUAACGGCCUACCAAGGCAACGAUGGGUACGGGGUCUUAAAGGAUGGACCCGCACACUGGCACUGAGACACGGGCCAGACUCCUACGGGAGGCAGCAGUGGGGAAUAUUGGUCAAUGGGGGGAACCCUGAACCAGCCAUCCCGCGUGCAGGAAGACAGUUCUAUGGAUUGUAAACUGCUUUUCUUGGGGAAGAAUAAUGACGACGUGUCGUCAGAUGACGGUACCCGAGGAAUAAGCAUCGGCUAACUCCGUG
Molecule: ribosomal RNA, 484 nt
Filed under: uncultured bacterium
Lineage: Bacteria
Description: bacterial SSU rRNA
Rfam family: Bacterial small subunit ribosomal RNA
Source: RNAcentral